This 244-nucleotide unclassified non-coding RNA is filed under the name Hevea brasiliensis (rubber tree). Lineage: Eukaryota; Viridiplantae; Streptophyta; Magnoliopsida; Malpighiales; Euphorbiaceae. The record is from RNAcentral.
GGCAAUGGAAUUGUGUUAACAAAUUCUUUGUGUAAAGCAGGCGAUUUACAGGAUAAUCAUCUGUCUUUUGCAGUAGGAUUAGUUCAGGAGGCUGUUAAAUUGGUUAAUGACAGUUAUAUGAGAUCGGCUAUAGACUACUUUGAAGUUACAAGAGCUAGACCUUCUCUGGCUGCAACUCUUUUAAUCACGACUUGGUCUAGGCUAUCCUUCCACACAACAGACUUCGGCUACGGGGAGCCUAUUU